This 72-nucleotide transfer RNA is filed under the name Apocheima cinerarius. RNAcentral's name for it is "tRNA-Cys". Lineage: Eukaryota; Metazoa; Arthropoda; Insecta; Lepidoptera; Geometridae. The record is from RNAcentral.
AUUAAAUUAAUAAGUCUUAUAUUCAAAAAAUGAUGUAAAAUUGCAAAUUUUAAGUUAUAAUUUAAAUAUUAU